RNAcentral lists this ribosomal RNA (459 nucleotides) under uncultured bacterium. RNAcentral describes it as "partial 16S ribosomal RNA". It matches the Rfam family "Bacterial small subunit ribosomal RNA", at positions 338 to 795 of the family's 1533-position model. The record is from RNAcentral.
CCUACGGGUGGCAGCAGUGAGGCAUAUUGGUCAAUGGGCGCGAGCCUGAACCAGCCAAGUCGCGUUAGGGAAGACGGUCCUAUGGUUUGUAACCCUCUUUUGUCAGGGAGCAAAAGACGCCUCGCGUGGUGCUCCUAGCGUACCCGAAGAAAAAGCAUCGGCUAACUCCGUGCCAGCAGCCGCGGUAAUACGGAGGAUGCGAGCGGUAUCCGGAUUUAUUGGGUUUAAAGGGUGCGCAGGCGGAAGAUCAAGUCAGCGGUAAAAUUGAGAGGCUCAACCUCUUCGAGCCGUUGAAACUGGUUUUCUUGAGUGAGCGAGGAGUAUGCGGAAUGCGUGGUGUAGCGGUGAAAUGCAUAGAGAUCACGCAGAACUCCGAUUGCGAAGGCAGCAUACCGGCGCUCAACUGACGCUCAUGCACGAAAGUGUGGGUAUCGAACAGGAUUAGAUACCCGUGUAGUC